Molecule: ribosomal RNA, 497 nt
Filed under: uncultured bacterium
Lineage: Bacteria
Description: partial 16S ribosomal RNA
Rfam family: Bacterial small subunit ribosomal RNA
Source: RNAcentral
GAUGAACGCUGGCGGCGUGCCUAAUACAUGCAAGUCGAGCGAACGGACGAUAAGCUUGCUUCUCUGAUGUUAGCGGCGGACGUGUGAGUAACACGUGGAUAACCUACCUAUAAGACUGGGAUAACUUCGGGAAACCGUAGCUAAUACCGGAUAAUAUUUUGAGCCGCAUUGUUCAAAAGUGAAAGACGGUCUUGCUGUCACUUAUAGAUGGAUCCGCGCUGCAUUAGCUAGUUGUUAAGGUAACGGCUUACCAAGGCAACGAUGCAUAGCCGACCUGAGAGGGUGGUCGGCCACACUGGAACUGAGACACGGUCCAGACUCCUACGGGAGGCAGCAGUAGGGAAUCUUACGCAAUGGGCGAAAGCCUGACGGAGCAACGCCGCGUGAGUGAUGAAGAUCUUCGGUUCGUAAAACUCUGUUAUUAGGGAAGAACAUAUGUGUAAGUAACUGAGCACAUAUUGACGGUACCUAAUCAGAAAGCCACGGCUAACUACGUG